UGAAAAUCUGAGGCUUCACAUUUGAGCAUUCAAGUGGUGGCUGCUGUUGUUGACAUUGCUGCGCCGCCGCCCAAAGAAGAAGACAGGGUUGAGGUUGAAGUAGGAGGGCUUGGGCUUCGGAUGGUAUCUAGGACAGAGGUAGGCUCAGUGAGAAGAAGAAGGAAAGAAAAAAA
Camellia sinensis is the source of this 173-nucleotide non-coding RNA. The record is from RefSeq and is a predicted model, not a curated record. NCBI's taxonomy places the organism in Eukaryota, Viridiplantae, Streptophyta, Magnoliopsida, Ericales, Theaceae.